CAAAUUAGUAGCAAUUAUUCUAUUUUGCAAAUUAGUAGCAAUCCUAGAAUGCUCAAUAGAAUUUUUCUCUGGGUUACAUACCAAUUAAUUUAGUAGCAAAGUUAGGCUGCUUGUUGUUGUACCUACCCUCCUUUUCCUAAUGCUAUCAGGGUAUGAGGAGUUUAUGCUUGGUAUUUUAUCAUUCUUUCAUGUGAUUCUUUUAUGCAACCUCUCAUGUUUAUGAUCUUGUUACUUCUAAG
RNAcentral lists this unclassified non-coding RNA (239 nucleotides) under Hevea brasiliensis (rubber tree). The record is from RNAcentral. Lineage: Eukaryota; Viridiplantae; Streptophyta; Magnoliopsida; Malpighiales; Euphorbiaceae.